This 393-nucleotide ribosomal RNA is filed under the name uncultured bacterium. RNAcentral's name for it is "partial 16S ribosomal RNA". It matches the Rfam family "Bacterial small subunit ribosomal RNA", at positions 523 to 918 of the family's 1533-position model. The record is from RNAcentral.
AUACGUAGGGGGCAAGCGUUAUCCGGAUUUACUGGGCGUAAAGGGCGUGUAGGCGGCGGUGUAAGUCUGGAGUGAAAGUCCCGCAUUCAAUGUGGGAAUUGCUUUGGAUACUGCAGUGCUAGAGUGCGGAAGAGGUAAGUGGAAUUCCCAGUGUAGCGGUGAAAUGCUUAGAGAUUACACAGAACACCGAUUGCGAAGGCAUCUCACGAAGGGUUGAUUGACGCUGAGGCACGAAAGCGUGUGGAUCAAACAGGAUUAGAUACCCUGGUAGUCCACGCAGUAAACGAUGAUGGCUAACCGCUGGGCUUAUCAGUUCAGUGGCCAAGCGAAAGCGAUAAGCCAUCCACCUGGGGAGUACGACCGCAAGGUUGAAACUCAAAGGAAUUGACGGGG